AUUGCUUCUCAGCUUUUUGGCUAAGAUCAAGUGUAGUGUCUGUUCUUAUCAGUUCAAAAAUAUGUUGAGGCAUUUUCUCUAACUUAAUUUUACUAAAUUUCUUUCAAAGCAAUUUCA
This 117-nucleotide small nuclear RNA is filed under the name Otolemur garnettii (small-eared galago). RNAcentral's name for it is "U2 spliceosomal RNA". It matches the Rfam family "U2 spliceosomal RNA". From Rfam's summary of the family: U2 is a small nuclear RNA (snRNA) component of the spliceosome (involved in pre-mRNA splicing). Complementary binding between U2 snRNA (in an area lying towards the 5' end but 3' to hairpin I) and the branchpoint sequence (BPS) of the intron results the bulging out of an unpaired adenosine, on the BPS, which initiates a nucleophilic attack at the intronic 5' splice site, thus starting the first of two transesterification reactions that mediate splicing. Lineage: Eukaryota; Metazoa; Chordata; Mammalia; Primates; Galagidae. The record is from Rfam by way of RNAcentral.